This is a long non-coding RNA of Hevea brasiliensis (rubber tree), 3110 nucleotides long. RefSeq lists it as uncharacterized. The record is from RefSeq and is a predicted model, not a curated record. Lineage: Eukaryota; Viridiplantae; Streptophyta; Magnoliopsida; Malpighiales; Euphorbiaceae. The transcript has 4 exons.
CAAAAGGAAGAGCCUAGUAAGAAUAUGAAGAGAGCAACAAAAUGCUAGAUUGUCUGAAAAGAUAUGAGCACUGUAGAGGAGUUCCGUCUGAUUUUGUGGAGACAGAAACAGAAAGAGUGUUCUAGUGGAGAUCUGCAAUAGAGUUUGGUAGCUCAGAAAAUGAGGGAAAGAGGAAGAAAAGAAAGAGAUGAAGAGAAAACAAUUUUAGCUUUCAACAUUUCAGGUAAAAUCUUGAAUUAGUGGUUGGGGUCCAAGCAUUCCCUGUGUCGAAAACCUGCUUGUUUGGGCUUAAAUAUUUAAUGAAGUCAAAAGAUCUAAAGGACUCUGAGCUCGUGUUAUUAAUGGUAGCGAAGAUGAAAACAAAUUCCCUUCUUGUUCUUGGUCUGGUCCACAUGACGUAGUAAGGGUUUCACUUUAGAAAAUCCAGGUGGAGGGAUAUGAUGAAUCCAAAUUAAUCCAAGCACUCCAAGACAAAGCAGUUUCAGAAGAGGAAAAAAGCCAUUGCUUUAUGAUCUUGAAAGAGGGAAAAAAGACCAUAAAGACCAUAUGGGUAGGCUCAAAAGCAUUGCCAACCUCAUGUAUGUCUCUCUAUCUCCAUAGAGCUUCUUUAUUACUCUUUUUAAGGUCACGCACACACAACCCUACAACCUUCACUAAAAUUAGAGACAAAAAGCUAUACAAAAAAAGAAGCUUUCAGGUAGGAUGAUUCCCCUGUGUCUGCUAUGUGCCAAAUUGCCAACUCAAAAGCUAGCUGGAAGAGGCAUGGUGGAAAUUGUCACCAUGAAGCUCAAACUGAUUUUAGCAAGCAAUUUCAAGUCUCCAGUACUGCCAAUUGUGACCAUUUCGUAUCCACCAACAUCACUGUCCAUCCUGGUUUGAGCUUUCUGUGCUACAAUAUAUAUUUCUAUAUUUCUUUUCUUUCUUUUUCAUUUUCCAAUCCACUAAACAUACAAAAACGCCUGUUUUUGGAUACUUAUUGUGUGCCUGGCUCCCUGUAUGCCAUCUGCAAAGCUCAUCAGAAAGUCGGUGGCCUCCGCAGAUGGCAUGCGAGGAGCCAUGCAUGCUGCAACUCAUUUAGUCCAGGAAGGGAAUGUUUCUCUGAUUGAAUUAAAGUCUAUCACAUGUAGCCAUAUAGUCACAGAACACUUUAACCCUAAUUCUUUCCAUCUAGCUCUAAUAAACAUUUAGGACAUUAGAGUGAACUUGGAAUGAACCAGGAAAGAUUAUUCAUAGUGGAGAGGACAGUCAAGCCCAUAUCCGUUUUCUUUUCCCACACUUUAUGAUUGUUUUAAUUAACAGUCAGCAAGAGAGAGUUCGACUGAAUUGGUAAGUGAGAACAUUCAUAGGAGUUUCAUCUUUAUUUGUCUUUCCUUUUUCUUUUUUUAACUCAUUAUUAAUGAUUUAAAAUUAUUGAAAUUUUCCUGCUAUGAAGGUUGCUUUUGUGUCUUAUUUACACUGAAGGCAUGGAAACUCAACAUGGGGCAUACAAUUCAUUACAUGGAGAUAGCUAUUGAAGAGAAAAUAAAGAAAGCUUCCACUAUUAUUUGUUACCCUCCAACGAAUGAACAUUCAACUAUGAUUCCUACAUGGCGUAAUGGACUAAAAAUAUGUAGUACUAGGCAAGCUCAUGAUGGUUGAUCCCCCGGAGGAAGUGCUUUCAGAUGUGUGUUUCUGAGGUAAUCUGAUAUCCUUCAGAUUUGGAACAAGUCCAGGUUGAGAAAUCUGAACGUCUCUGAUGUCAGUUUCAUUAGUCAACAUUUUCACGGCCAUUGACAUAUGUGGACGGAGCUUGGCUGUUUCUUGCACGCAAAGUAGGCUGACCAUCAAGAACCGAAAAGCUUCUUCUUCUGGAAAGUUCAUUUUAAGAGCAGGGUCUACUACCUGCAUAAGUUUGUUGCUCUUGUAGGCUUGCCAUGCCUGCAGUUAUUCACACACACAAAACACUUCAUCUAAACAAGAAGACGAUGUUGUGGUCAAGAAAUUCAUAAACCAAUAUCAAAAACAAUCAUAGCAAUAAUUAAACAUUUGCUUUAACAUUUCCACCUUUCGAACUAGGUAAUGUUCGCCAAGUUCCAAGUCAAAAUCCACAACUGAUCGCCCACUGAUAAUUUCCAACAACAGUACUCCAAAACUGUAAACAUCCGACUUUCGUGUCAAAUGUCCUGUAAUGGCGUAUUCUGGAGCAAGGUAUCCUCUUUUUUUGCAAUUUUGAGUCCAAGAAACCUGAUUAGCUAUGGUAUUUUUCUUAAUUAAUAGUGUAAAACAAAGAAACAAGAAUGCAGAAUCCACUUACAAUGUGCCUGCAACCCGAGUACUAAUAUGUGAAGCCUGGUCUCUAAGUAUCCUGGAAAGACCAAAAUCAGCCACUUUGGGAGCAAAAUUUCGAUCAAGAAGUAUAUUGCUUGCUUUUAUAUCUCUAUGCACGAUAUGGGGUUGAACUUCCUCAUGAAGAUAGGCCAGCCCACGAGCAACUCCUAAUGAAAUAUCCCUCCUUGCUUCCCAGCUAAAUUUCAUCCUGUUUUGCUCUUUGCCUAUUAAUCAAGCAUAGCAUACAUGACAAAGAACAACUUUUCCUAGUUUAAAUUUGCCUAUUUAUAUACAGAUGUUCAAGUAUUGAUUGAGCCCUUUUUCUGGGUUCAUUAAGAAGAAUUUGAUCAAAUAAAUUAAUCAUAUAUAGGAGGAAGGAAAGAUUAUUACCGAGUAGGGUCUGUGCCAGGCUAUUGUUUUCCAUGUAAUCGAAGACCAAAUAUCUGUUGGCUCCAUCAACACAACAUCCUUGAAGUUCAACAAGAUUUGCAUGCUUUAUAUUAGACAGUGCAGCUAACUCAGAUAUGAAUUCUCUCUCUCCACGCAUCGAUUCGAUCUCCACAGAAAGAACCUUUACAGCUACAACAGAACCAUCAGCCAGGUGGCCCUUCAAAAUCAAAGCAAAGUCACACAUUAGCAUUUGGUGAACAUACAAGAUAUACCCAUGUAAGAUAGGUGCAUACAACAACUAACCUUACCAAAGGUCAAAUUAUGAGGUUUUCCUACACACAUGAUGUGAGAGGACCGGAAAUUACCCUGUACACAGAACCGAAGGCUCCUUCUCCAAUCUUGUUUGAGGAAGA